GAGUUUGAUCGUGGCUCAGAACGAACGCUGGCGGCAGGCCUAACACAUGCAAGUCGAACGCCGUAGCAAUACGGAGUGGCAGACGGGUGAGUAACGCGUGGGAACGUACCUUUCGGUUCGGAAUAACCCGGGGAAACUCGGGCUAAUACCCGGAUACGUCCGCAAGGAGAAAAGAUUUAUCGCCGAAAGAUCGGCCCGCGUCGGAUUAGCUAGUGGUGAGGUAACGGCCCACAAGGCGAUGAUCCGUAGCUGGUCUGAGAGGACGACCAGCCACACUGGGACUGAGACACGGCCCAGACUCCUACGGGAGGCAGCAGUGGGGAAUAUUGGACAAUGGGCGAAAGCCUGAUCCAGCCAUGCGCGUGAGUGAAGAAGGCCUUAGGGUUGUAAAGCUCUUUCAGCGGGGAAGAUAAUGACGGUACCCGCAGAAGAAGUCCCGGCUAACUUCGUGCCAGCCGCCGCAGUAAC
RNAcentral lists this ribosomal RNA (468 nucleotides) under uncultured Alphaproteobacteria bacterium. RNAcentral's name for it is "bacterial SSU rRNA". It matches the Rfam family "Bacterial small subunit ribosomal RNA", at positions 9 to 524 of the family's 1533-position model. Lineage: Bacteria; Pseudomonadati; Pseudomonadota; Alphaproteobacteria. The record is from RNAcentral.